Molecule: long non-coding RNA, 122 nt
Organism: Haliotis rubra (blacklip abalone)
Lineage: Eukaryota; Metazoa; Mollusca; Gastropoda; Lepetellida; Haliotidae
Exons: 3
Source: RefSeq, a predicted model, not a curated record
AUGUCACAUUGACCAGUAGAGAGGUCGUUGUAAAGUUCUAAAAUGUCCAGAAUGAUUGGGUGACUUGAAGUAACAGUUUGGAGUGCUUGAAGGCAAAAUAACGAAUCUAAAAACAAUGAUUU